CUGGCGACCGGCGCACGGGUGAGUAACACGUAUCCAACCUGCCCUUUACUCGGGGAUAGCCUUUCGAAAGAAAGAUUAAUACCCGAUAGCAUAAUGAUUCCGCAUGGUUUCAUUAUUAAAGGAUUCCGGUAAAGGAUGGGGAUGCGUUCCAUUAGGUUGUUGGUGAGGUAACGGCUCACCAAGCCGACGAUCAGUAGCCGACCUGAGAGGGUGACCGGCCACAUUGGGACUGAGACACGGCCCAG
RNAcentral lists this ribosomal RNA (245 nucleotides) under uncultured bacterium. RNAcentral's name for it is "partial 16S ribosomal RNA". It matches the Rfam family "Bacterial small subunit ribosomal RNA", at positions 88 to 334 of the family's 1533-position model. The record is from RNAcentral.